RNAcentral lists this ribosomal RNA (405 nucleotides) under uncultured bacterium. RNAcentral describes it as "partial 16S ribosomal RNA". It matches the Rfam family "Bacterial small subunit ribosomal RNA", at positions 28 to 526 of the family's 1533-position model. The record is from RNAcentral.
GAUGAACGCUGGCGGCGUGCCUAAUACAUGCAAGUCGAGCGAAGCGGGGACGGGUGAGUAACACGUGGCUACCCUCCUAUAAGAUUGGGAUAACUUCGGGAUACCGGAGCUAAACCGGAUCCUUUUAGAUGGAUCCUCGCUGCAUUAGAUAGUUGGUAAGGUAACGGCUUACCAAGGCAACGAUGCAUAGCCGACCUGAGAGAGGGGUAGGCGACACUGGAACUGAGACACGGUCCAGACGCCUACGGGAGGCAGCGGUAGGGAAUCUUCCGCAAUGGGCGAAAGCCUGACGGAGCAACGCCGCGUGAGUGAUGAAGGUCUUCAAAUCGUAAAACUCUGUUAUUAGGGAAGCGGUACCUAAUCAGAAAGCCACGGCUAACUACGUGCCAGCAGCCGCGGUAAUAC